AAAUCGGCCCUUUUAAGGGUCACAAACAUUUUUAAAUUGUUGGAA
Molecule: non-coding RNA, 45 nt
Organism: Cyphomyrmex costatus
Lineage: Eukaryota; Metazoa; Arthropoda; Insecta; Hymenoptera; Formicidae
Source: Rfam